GAGAGGCGCUGCCGCCAGCGCUGCCGCGGGGACCCGUUAGAGCGGAAGCACCGCCGCCGCCUUCGCUGUCCGGGGGCCCCUAGUUCCCCGCGGGUGGGAGGCGAGAGCCAUGUCGAAGCGGCUCCGGAGCAGCGAGGUGUGCGCUGACUGCAGCGGGCCGGAUCCUUCCUGGGCAUCAGUAAACCGGGGAACUUUUAUAUGUGACGAGUGCUGCAGUGUCCAUCGGAGUCUGGGGCGCCAUAUCUCUCAAGUAAGGCAUCUUAAACACACACCCUGGCCUCCAACAUUGCUUCAGAUGGUUGAAACCUUGUAUAAUAACGGUGCUAAUUCUAUAUGGGAGCAUUCUUUGCUGGACCCUGCCUCUAUUAUGAGCGGAAGACGUAAAGCUAAUCCACAGGAUAAAGUACAUCCCAAUAAAGCAGAAUUCAUCAGAGCCAAGUAUCAGAUGUUAGCAUUUGUCCACCGCUUGCCCUGCCGGGACGAUGAUAGCGUGACGGCCAAAGAUCUUAGUAAGCAACUCCAUUCAAGCGUGAGAACAGGGAAUCUUGAAACCUGUUUGAGGCUGUUAUCUUUAGGAGCACAAGCCAACUUUUUUCACCCUGAAAAAGGAAACACCCCACUCCACGUUGCCUCCAAAGCAGGGCAGAUUUUACAGGCUGAAUUAUUGGCAGUGUAUGGGGCAGACCCAGGCACACAAGAUUCUAGUGGGAAAACUCCUGUUGAUUAUGCAAGGCAAGGAGGGCACCACGAACUGGCAGAACGCCUUGUAGAAAUACAGUAUGAGCUGACUGACAGACUAGCCUUCUAUCUCUGUGGCAGGAAACCAGAUCACAAAAAUGGGCAGCACUUUAUAAUACCUCAAAUGGCAGACAGCAGCCUGGAUUUGUCUGAGUUGGCAAAAGCUGCUAAGAAGAAACUUCAGUCUCUAAGUAAUCAUUUGUUUGAAGAACUUGCGAUGGACGUGUACGACGAAGUUGACAGGCGAGAGACCGAUGCAGUCUGGCUUGCCACUCAAAACCACAGCACGCUGGUAACCGAGACGACCGUGGUUCCCUUCCUUCCGGUCAACCCUGAGUACUCAUCAACACGAAACCAGGGCAGACAGAAAUUAGCUCGGUUUAAUGCCCAUGAAUUUGCCACGCUGGUUAUUGACAUUCUCAGUGAUGCCAAGAGGAGACAGCAGGGCAGUCCUCUCUCUAGUUCAAAAGACAAUGUGGAGCUCAAACUGAAAACCAUCAAUAACCAGCACAGUGUUGAGAGCCAAGACAACGACCAGCCGGACUAUGACAGUGUGGCAUCAGACGAAGACACGGAUUUAGAAACCACGGCAAGCAAGGCAAACAGGCAGAAGAGCCUAGAUUCAGAUUUAUCAGAUGGACCAGUCACUGUACAAGAAUUUAUGGAGGUCAAAAACGCUCUAGUGGCUUCUGAGGCCAAGAUACAACAGCUAAUGAAGGUGAAUAACAACUUGAGUGACGAGCUGAGAAUUAUGCAGAAAAAGCUUCAAACACUCCAGAGUGAAAAUUCGAACCUCAGGAAACAGGCCACAACCACUAUAUAUCAGGUGCAAACUGGUUCAGAGUACACAGACACUUCCAACCACUCUUCCUUAAAGCGACGUCCAUCCGCCCGGGGCAGUAGGCCCAUGUCCAUGUACGAGACGGGAUCGGGGCAGAAACCAUACCUCCCCAUGGGAGAGGUGAACCACCCCGAGGAAAGCAGGACGCGACUCCAGCCCUUCCCCGCGCACAUCGGGAGGAGUGCGCUUGUGACCUCCUCUUCAUCUCUGCCUUCCUUCCCCUCCACACUCUCCUGGUCGAGGGACGAAAGCACCCGAAGGGUUAAGUACAUUCUGAAUUGGUUGGUCUCUGGAGGAGGCGGCAGUGCUCAUGGGCGCUUUGUGCUUCUGUCCUUCAGUCCUGCUAACUGCCCUUCUGUCCCGCAUGGGCUCCGCUUCCCUCCUGGUUUCUCACAGCACAGCGGGCACAUGCAACGCAGACCUGUAGAGAGAUGCCUCCCUUCCGUCUAACUCCACAUUGCUCAGUUACACACAUGAUAUUUAACAAGGUUCACAAAUCACCCUAUGGCAUUGAUUCUGAGCAUACUGUCUUUUUAAACAAUCGGAAAAUUAGCUGGCUGCUGGUUAACCGUUGUAAUAGGGAAAUCCGUCAGACUUGUUCAGAGCUCCCAUUAUGGAUCAAAACUAGUGUCUUUGGACUAGUUGAAGCACUAACAUGUCAUGGUUUCUUUUUUUACCCUCUGACAUAUUUUCCGUCAGCACCAUGCCUGACAAACCAGGCUUUUCCAGUCCCUGCAUCCCACAUGAGCAUUGUGACCUACAGUGGCACUGGAGGUGUGAGCAGCUGUUGGUCUGAAGCUGUUCACAUGCACUAAUUGGCCACAUCCAACCUGCUGAUGUAUCACUUACAUUCUCAACAACAAUACAUGGUUCAGGUACCUCCUUUUAGAGUAGCCAAGCAACAAGUGUUUAUUAAGCACCUCUUGUUUGCCCAGCCAGGUCCCUGGGUAGCACAAUAAAGGUUGGCAAUUCGAACCCACCCAGCAGCUCCACGAAAGAAAGUCAUCGUGAACUGCUUCCAUAAAGAUUAAAGGCCAGAAAACCCUAUGGAGCAGUUCUACUCUGUAACGCAUGGGGUCGCCAUGAGUCAGAAUCAACUCAAGGGCAACAGGUUUGGUUUUUUUUUUUUUUUUCCUAUGCCCAGCCUGUUGGCAAGUCAGUUAAUAGACUUACGUGACACAACCGAGCCCUGCUCCCAGAGGCACCAUCAGUAAACAAAUUAUUUGCACAAAGAGUGCAUGACCUUAACCUGGGACAGUCACGGAAAGGUUUCAGGCUUUGAAGACCUAAGUUCAGGUGCUGGCUCAACCUUUUAUGAAAGGGGAGUGUAAUCAAGGUGAGAGAAGGGAAGUUCACUGUGGGGAAGGGGCCACCUUUACAGACAACAUGGGAUCUGCACAGAGCCUUGGUCCACUCCCUAUGCAUCAGGGCCUUUGUGGUCCUUUUCCACUAUCAGAGCCUUUAAAGGAAACCUUGAUAUAUGAUACUUAGAACUUUUUGAGCAGUUCUGAAAUUGACCUGUAGUGUUUUCAUUAUAUUCCAAUAAAACGAAGGGUUAGAGAAGUAGUAAUGAAAUAUCCAGUUUGAAACUUUGUUAAUAAGAGUCAAAAAACUUUUGUCCACUCUGAAAUUUUUUUUUUAAUUUUUGGUAGUUUUGAAAAUCAUGGCAAGGACCACUCGCUGAGGCAAAGUGUUUUUUAAACUGGUAAUCCUGGUUGUUUCUGACAACUUUGUCCUGGAUUUAGAUUGUUACGGUAUGUCUGUAAUCAGAGAAAACUGAAAAUCUGUUAAAGAAACCGAACCAGCACCAGCUAUAAAGUAACUUUUCUAUUAACAGCUUUAAAAGAGCAGCACUUUUUAACCAAUAGAUCUUGGCUCUGCAUGUUUACAGUAAUUUUCAUAAAAUAGAAAGCUGGCUAACUUGCUUUUGUGGACAACGGCAAAGGACUUAACGUGUAAGUAACAGAUUUCCUGGGUGGCUGCUGGGUGGCUGCCCCUAUACUUCGUUUUUUAUUCUUGAAAAAUGGUUCCUUCAUGCUUUUAUGAGGUAUACGAGUUGUUACUUUUCUAAAAUGCUUAAAUGAAACUUGGUAUUUUUAAUCAUUGUGGGGUAACGCAGUUGAUUUCUGAUUACCAAACUACAUCCAGGAAAGUAAAAAGGCCCAUUAUAAAAAUGUGGAACUUUCUGUGUUUAAUUCUAUUACUUAGAUUUUUCCCCACUGGAGCAACUCUGGAAGGACUUCCCAGUAUAAUUAUUUAAAUGCAGAUUUUUUACAUUCCAUUUGUGUGUGCGUGUGUGUGUGUGUGUGUGUGUGUAUUAAAGACAAAGAAAUGUAAAGCUUAGUCCAACGCCCCCAUGAAAGGUGAGAAGGGGGUCACUGUUUCUAGAGGUCCCCUCCAGAAGACCCUGGUCUCACUUUUCCCUGCGCUGGGUUUUUUUGGGGACGCAGUGCUGCCCUUGGCCUUCCGUCUGGCCUACUUGUACCCUCACUCACUGAUUCCUUCCUAAAGGCAGAUCAAACCACGGCAGCAAGUGGAGCAUAACUGCUUGCUGGCAGGAGAUGUAGAGGAAGAGAUCUUAAACACUGUAGUGGGUUUUACUGGACCCAAUUCUACAGAAGGAAACCCUGGUGGCGUAGUGGUUAAGCACUACAGCUGCUAACGAAAGGGUCGGCAGUUUGAAUGCGCCAGGCACUCCUUGGAAACUCUAUGGGGCGGUUCUACUCUGUCCUGUAGGGUCACUAUGAGUCAGAAUUGACUCGACAGCACUGGGUUUGGUUUUGGGUUAAUUCUACAGAAUCCCCAUGUGGCUCGAAGCCAUUAUUCUUAAUAAUUUGCCAGUUGAAUUUGAGUGAGUGUAAGUUCAUACUGAAUUUUAGGAGCCCAAAGCAAGUGUCUUCUGUUAGAGUGCCCCGGACUGCAUAGGGGACUUUGGGGAACUGUGAAAAGACCUUGGCAGACAGAGGAAGAGAGCAUUGGCCUUGGGAGGGGAGAAGAGGCCAUGGGGAUAGUAAGCAAAUAUGGCCUGCACAAGGGUCUCCACCCUGUGGGUGGGUGACUGCUAUGCCUGUCCCCAUGGGGCCUGUCGGGGCCAGGCAGCAUUAUCAGUAAGGAGCAAUCAGACUGUACAUAGACUUCUUAGACUGACUGACCCUAAAUCAGCCAUUCUUUUGGAUGAUGCUGCAGAGUCUCCAUAUAUUUAAACGAGGCUCUUAGUUUACAGCUAUUUCCUUAAAAAUUGCAGCAGCUUUAAAAUCCCUUAGUCAGAGAGACUGGAAGAAGGGAGUGGGCAGACUCAUUAGGGGGAGAGUAAAUGGGAGUAUGUAGUAAGGUGUAUAUAAGCUUACAUGUGACAGACUGACUUGAUUUGUAAACUUUCACUUAAAGCACAAUAAAAAUUAUUUAAAAAAAAAUCCCUUAGUCAUGUACAUGUUUUGAUUAACUUGAAUUAAAUUCAAGGCGUAGAACUGGAAGUUGGUCAUAUUUAUGUUUUGCAAGAUAAUCAGUCUAGGCUUUGGAUCAGCUGCCACUGAUCUCUGUUCUAGGUGAAGACAUUCUCAAACCCUAUGGAUAAAAUCAGUACUACUGAGGGAAAGUAAUUUUUACUAAACACUGCAGAACUAACCUAGUUUUAGUUUCCUUCAAAGGAACAUGGUCCCCUUCAGAUUUUUUUAUCUUGGAAGGCCCUCCUACUUGGCAGCACUGCCAUUUGCUCCAGGGUAUUGUUAGGAUUCCUCCUUUAAAAUUGCCUUUUGAAUCUCUGUCCGCCCCCCGCCCCUUUUUUUUUUUCGUGUGCUUUAAGUGACAGUUUACAAAUCAAGUCAGCCUCUCAUAGACAAACUUAUAUACACCUUGCUGUAUACUCCUAGUUGCUCUCCCCCUGAAGAGACAGCACACUCCUUCUCUCUACUCUCUAUUUUCAUGUCCAUUCGGCCAGCGUCUGACCCCCUCUGCCCUCUCAUCUGCCGUCCAGACAGGUGCUGCCUCCAUAGUCUCAUGUGUCUACUUGAUCCAAGAAGCUCACUCCUCACCAGUAUCAUUUUCUAUCCCAUGGUCCAGUCCAGUCCGUGUCUGAAGAGUUGGCUUUGGGAAUGGUUCCAGUCUUGGGUUAACAGAAGGUCUGGGGACCAUGACCUCCGGGGUCCCUCUAGUCUCAGUCAGACCAUUAAGUCUGGUCUUUUUACGAGAAUUUGAGGUCUGCAUCCUGCUGCUCUCCUGCUCCCUCAGGGGUUCUCUGUUGUGUUCCCUGUCAGGGCAGUCAUGGGUUGUAGCUGGGCACCAUCCAGCUCUUCUGGUCUCAGGCUGAUGUAGUCUCUGGUUUACGUGGCCCUUUCUGUCUCUUGGGCUCAUAAUUACCUUCUUUGGUGUUCUUCAUUCUCCUUUGCUCCAGGUGGGUUGAGACCAAUUGAUGCAUCUUAGAUGACUGCUUGCUAGCGUUUAAGACCCCAGAUGCCACUCUCCAAAGUGGGGUGCAGAAUGUUUUCUUAAUAGAUGCCACUCUCCAAAGUUCUCCGUCCCAUUUUUCAAUCUCCACGGUUGCACCGAAUCUUUUUUUUUUUUAAGAGUGGAUCUUCUUUUUUUUGAAACAGAUAAAAGUGAUUCAAAGCCAAGUGUCCUACUGGUUUAAAAACAACUCAUGACUAUGAAUUAAUAAGGCUGUUUUUUUUUUUCCUGUGGCUGAUAAAAGCCAUCUCUGAGGGCGGUUCUUGGAGAGCCAGGAGUGUCUGAAGCAGCAGUGAUCUUCGGAGCCCCAGGCAUGGAAUAUCACAACUAGCUGGAGGCAGGGGACCUGGGUUCCUGGUCCCAUUUUUUUUCUAACUCUGUGGCCUUGGGUGGGCCACCCAGCCUUUUUCUGUCCUCUAGUGUCUCAGCUGGUGUUAGACUAAGUAAUCUGCAGAUGGCUUCCAGCGCAGAAGGCCUAUAGGUGCUUAAGUUCUGGCAUGUUUGUUUUUUAAAUAGAACCCUGAGUGGCACAAAUGGUUAAGUGCUGGAGUACUAACUGAAAGGUUGGUGGUUCAAGCCCACCCAGAGGCACCUGGGAAGUAAGGCCUGGCCAUCCUGUUUCUGAAAGGGUCACAGCCUUAAAAAAAUCCUGUGGAGCAGUUCUACUCUGCACACGUGGGGUUGCCGUGUGUCAGAAUCAACGGCAACUAAUACCACCAACAUCAUAGUUACGCUCCAUACUCCAUUGAGAGCUAAAUGUGGGUGUGUUGCUUCAUAUGUCUGUUUUCAUUUGUAACGCGGAUCUUUUUAUGGAGUAGCCCCUGGGCUAAGAAGAACAUGGUGUGGAAAAGGAAAGAAGUCAUUUCUGGAUCCACUGUUCACCUAUUACUAAAUUUUUAGUAAAAGGUGGGCUUUGGUCCCAAAUGAGAUCCGGAGCGUGAAGGCUGCAUAGAGUUAACAGGCAUCCAGGCUGGAGAAGCAGAACAGUACCCCUGAAAGUGACUACGACAACACCCCCAAUGACACGGAGCCCGAUGACACGGG
RNA transcript from Loxodonta africana (African savanna elephant), 7066 nucleotides. It is a transcript of the gene named GIT ArfGAP 2, with no coding region annotated. NCBI's taxonomy places the organism in Eukaryota, Metazoa, Chordata, Mammalia, Proboscidea, Elephantidae. The record is from RefSeq and is a predicted model, not a curated record. The transcript is spliced from 17 exons.